UAAAAGGUUUGAGAGUCUCUGCCACGC
Molecule: non-coding RNA, 27 nt
Filed under: Mus musculus (house mouse)
Lineage: Eukaryota; Metazoa; Chordata; Mammalia; Rodentia; Muridae
Source: RNAcentral